GAUGAACGCUGGCGGCGUGCUUAACACAUGCAAGUCGAACGGAAAGGCCCAAGCUUGCUUGGGUACUCGAGUGGCGAACGGGUGAGUAACACGUGGGUGAUCUGCCCUGCACUUCGGGAUAAGCCUGGGAAACUGGGUCUAAUACCGGAUAGGACCACUUCUUGGAUGUUGUGGUGGAAAGUUUUUUCGGUGUGGGAUGAGCUCGCGGCCUAUCAGCUUGUUGGUGGGGUAAUGGCCUACCAAGGCGUCGACGGGUAGCCGGCCUGAGAGGGUGUACGGCCACAUUGGGACUGAGAUGCGGCCCAGACUCCUACGGGAGGCAGCAGUGGGGAAGAUUGCACAAGGGGCGCAAGCCUGAUGCAGCGACGCCGCGUGGGGGAUGACGGCCUUCGGGUUGUAAACUCCUUUCGCUAGGGACGAAGCGUUUUGUGACGGUACCUGGAGAAGAAGCACCGGCUAACUACGUG
Molecule: ribosomal RNA, 467 nt
Filed under: uncultured bacterium
Lineage: Bacteria
Description: partial 16S ribosomal RNA
Rfam family: Bacterial small subunit ribosomal RNA
Source: RNAcentral